This 69-nucleotide transfer RNA is filed under the name Pseudodendrothrips mori. Its description in RNAcentral is "tRNA-Phe". It matches the Rfam family "tRNA". Rfam says of the family: Transfer RNA (tRNA) molecules are approximately 80 nucleotides in length. Their secondary structure includes four short double-helical elements and three loops (D, anti-codon, and T loops). The record is from RNAcentral. Lineage: Eukaryota; Metazoa; Arthropoda; Insecta; Thysanoptera; Thripidae.
GUUUUUUUAGCUUAACUACAAAAGCAUUAUGUUGAAAAUAUAAAGAUGAAUUUUCUUAUUCAAAAAACA